This is a long non-coding RNA of Saccostrea cuccullata (small rock oyster), 569 nucleotides long. RefSeq lists it as uncharacterized. The transcript is spliced from 5 exons. NCBI's taxonomy places the organism in Eukaryota, Metazoa, Mollusca, Bivalvia, Ostreida, Ostreidae. The record is from RefSeq and is a predicted model, not a curated record.
GGUAUCGGUAGGACAGGGACGUUCAUUGCUCUGGACGUUCUGUCUAGGUACGGAGAGGAACAUGACAAAAUCAACGUCAUCGAGUUCGUUAAGGCCAUGCGUAAAGACAGGAUGACGAUAAUUCAAAACUCUGAUCAGUACGUAUUCCUUUAUCACGCCCUGUAUGAGUACUUCGGAAGAAAGGCGAAUUUUAUAAGCAGAACAGAGUUUAUUGAUUUGUAUGGCGAAAUGGAAAAAAAUAAAAAACAAGAAAACGACUUGGGAAUGAAUUCAAUGUUGUAACAAAUUUAAAGCCACGUUACAUCGCCGAUGAUUUCAAAACAAGACGGCAGCACAUGAAGCUCAGUUUUACUCAAUCUGUUUUACCAGUUGAAAGAUAUCUUGUGUAUUUAACAUCAACUGUGAAGGGACGAGAUCAAUAUUACAAUGCAGUAAAUAUUUCGUCGUUUACCAGAGCUGAGGAGUUCAUUUCUGCGCAAUUUCCGGUAUCAGGAGCCGCCAUUGAUCUUGCUCGUUUGCUGGUUGAUCAGGAGUCUCCAUUCUUGAUCUCGCUGAAUCCUUUAUCUGAA